UGCCAGACUCCUACGGGAGGCAGCAGUGGGGAAUAUUGCACAAUGGGGGAGACCCUGAUGCAGCGACGCCGCGUGAGCGAUGAAGUAUUUCGGUAUGUAAAGCUCUAUCAGCAGGGAAGAAGAUGACGGUACCUGACUAAGAAGCCCCGGCUAACUACGUGCCAGCAGCCGCGGUAAUACGUAGGGGGCAAGCGUUAUCCGGAUUUACUGGGUGUAAAGGGAGCGUAGACGGCGAUGCAAGCCAGAUGUGAAAGCCCGGGGCUCAACCCCGGGACUGCAUUUGAAACUGUGUAGCUAGAGUGCAGGAGAGGUAAGUGGAAUUCCUAGUGUAGCGGUGAAAUGCGUAGAUAUUAGGAGGAACACCGGUGGCGAAGGCGGCUUACUGGACUGUAACUGACGUUGAGGCUCGAAAGCGUGGGGAGCAAACAGGAUUAGAUACCCCGGUA
RNAcentral lists this ribosomal RNA (446 nucleotides) under uncultured bacterium. Its description in RNAcentral is "bacterial SSU rRNA". It matches the Rfam family "Bacterial small subunit ribosomal RNA", at positions 329 to 792 of the family's 1533-position model. The record is from RNAcentral.